This 309-nucleotide non-coding RNA is filed under the name Stegodyphus mimosarum. RNAcentral's name for it is "eukaryotic small subunit ribosomal RNA". It matches the Rfam family "Eukaryotic small subunit ribosomal RNA", at positions 57 to 318 of the family's 1831-position model. Lineage: Eukaryota; Metazoa; Arthropoda; Arachnida; Araneae; Eresidae. The record is from Rfam by way of RNAcentral.
GCCUAAGUACAUGUCGUAUUAAGGCGAAACCGCGAAUGCCUCAUUAAAUCAGUUGGAUCGUAGCUUACUACUUGGAUAACUGUGGCAAUUCUAGAACUAAUACAUGCAGCAGAGCUCCGAACCUCUGGGGACGAGCGCUUUUAUUAGACAUUGUGCUCCAAGUGGAAGAUUUCCAUCAAUGCAACGAAAUCACAACUACUCCUAGUAAGAAGAAAGAAAAUACAGGUUUCAGUUCUGCCGCUUUACCUACACUGGUGUGCAAAAAUUAAGGACGAAGUCGAAAAAUUAGCAUAUCAGCUGAACGAAGAG